CCUACGGGUGGCAGCAGUCGAGAAUCAUUCACAAUGGGGGAAACCCUGAUGGUGCGACGCCGCGUGGGGGAAUGAAGGUCUUCGGAUUGUAAACCCCUGUCAUGUGGGAGCAAAUUAAAAAGAUAGUACCACAAGAGGAAGAGACGGCUAACUCUUUGCCAGCAGCCGCGGGAAUACAGAGGUCUCAAGCGUUGUUCGGAAUCACUGGGCGUAAAGCGUGCGGAGGCUGUUUCGUAAGUCGUGUUUGAAAGGCGCGGGCUCAACCCGCGGACGGCACAUGAUACUGCGAGACUAGAGUAAUGGAGGGGGAACCGGAAUUCUCGGUGUAGCAGUGAAAUGCGUAGAUAUCGAGAGGAACACUCGUGGCGAAGGCGGGUUCCUGGACAUUAACUGACGCUGAGGCACGAAGGCCAGGGGAGCGAAAGGGAUUAGAUACCCCUGUAGUC
This 446-nucleotide ribosomal RNA is filed under the name uncultured bacterium. RNAcentral describes it as "partial 16S ribosomal RNA". It matches the Rfam family "Bacterial small subunit ribosomal RNA", at positions 338 to 795 of the family's 1533-position model. The record is from RNAcentral.